GCAAGUCGAACGAUGAAAGCCUCUUCGGAAGUGUAUGAAGUGGCGUAAGGGCGAGGAAUAUAUUUCUAUGUACCCCAAAGUCAAGGAUAGCCCAGGGAAACUUGGUGUAAUACUUGAUGUGGUCUCCGGAUCAAAGAUUUAUCGCUUUGGGAGCAGGGAAUAUCCUAUCAGGUAGUUGGUGAGGUAACGGCUCACCAAGCCAAAGACGGGUAGCGGGUGUGAGAGCAUGACCCGCCGCAUCGGGACUGAGACACUGCCCGGACUCCUACGGGAGGCUGCAGUAACGAAUAUUCCGCAAUGAGCGAAAGCUUGACGGAGCAAUGCCGCGUGUAGGAUGAAUCUCCUUGGAGUGUAAACUACUGUCAGAGACUAGGAACUCAAUGACCAAUCUCAAAGGGAGGGCCGGCUAACUUCGUGCCAGCAGCCGCGGUAAUACGAAGGGCCCGAGCGUUAUUCGGAAUCACUGGGCUUAAAGCGUGCGUAGGCGGACUUGUAGGCGUUUUGUGAAAUCCCUCGGCUCAACCGAGGAACUGCAGAGCGAACCCCAAGCCUUGAGACAGAUAGAGGUUGUCGGAACGAUUGGUGGAGUGGUGAAAUGCGUUGAUAUCAAUCGGAACGCCAAAUGAGAAGUCAGGCAACUGGAUCUGUUCUGACGCUGAGGCACGAAAGCGUGGGUAGCGAACGGGAUUAGAUACCCCGGUAGUCCACGCCGUAAACAAUGUGCACUAGGUCGAGGGCGUUCUGACGCGACUCUCGGCCGAAGCGAAAGUGUUAAGUGCACCGCCUGGGGAGUACGGUCGCAAGGCUAAAACUCAAAGGAAUUGACGGGGGCUCACACAAGCGGUGGAGCAUGUGGCUUAAUUCGAAGCAACGCGAAGAACCUUAUCCUAGGUUUGACAUACACGGAUUAGCUAUAAGAAACUAUAGUGACACCUUCGGGUGGAACGUGACAGUGCUGCAUGGCUGUCGUCAGCUCGUGCUGUGAAGUGUCGGGUUAAGUCCCUUAACGAGCGCAACCCUUAUCGUUAGUUGCUAACAAGUAAUGCUGAAGACUCCUAGCGAGAACUGCCGGUGUUAAACCG
RNAcentral lists this ribosomal RNA (1082 nucleotides) under uncultured bacterium. RNAcentral describes it as "bacterial SSU rRNA". It matches the Rfam family "Bacterial small subunit ribosomal RNA", at positions 57 to 1165 of the family's 1533-position model. The record is from RNAcentral.